GACGAACGCUGGCGGCGUGCUUAACACAUGCAAGUCGAACGGAAAGGCCCUGCUUUUGUGGGGUGCUCGAGUGGCGAACGGGUGAGUAACACGUGAGUAACCUGCCCUUGACUUUGGGAUAACUUCAGGAAACUGGGGCUAAUACCGGAUAGGAGCUCCUGCUGCAUGGUGGGGGUUGGAAAGUUUCGGCGGUUGGGGAUGGACUCGCGGCUUAUCAGCUUGUUGGUGGGGUAGUGGCUUACCAAGGCUUUGACGGGUAGCCGGCCUGGGAGGGUGACCGGCCACAUUGGGACUGAGAUACGGCCCAGACUCCUACGGGAGGCAGCAGUGGGGAAUAUUGCACAAGGGGCGGAAGCCUGAUGCAGCAACGCCGCGUGCGGGAUGACGGCCUUCGGGUUGUAAACCGCUUUCGCCUGUGACGAAGCGUGAGUGACGGUAAUGGGUAAAGAAGCACCGGCUAACUACGU
Molecule: ribosomal RNA, 467 nt
Filed under: uncultured bacterium
Lineage: Bacteria
Description: partial 16S ribosomal RNA
Rfam family: Bacterial small subunit ribosomal RNA
Source: RNAcentral